Odontomachus brunneus is the source of this 823-nucleotide long non-coding RNA. RefSeq lists it as uncharacterized. The record is from RefSeq and is a predicted model, not a curated record. The transcript has 3 exons. Lineage: Eukaryota; Metazoa; Arthropoda; Insecta; Hymenoptera; Formicidae.
CAUAUCCUACUCUGUCCCCAUGAAGCUUGUGUUAUGUAAACAUCUGUUAUAAUAACCUUUGUUGACGGCGAAAAGGACCAUUCCUGUCGCUAACCUGCCAUAAGGUUAUUUUAACAGAUGUUCAUAAAACAUAAGCUUAAUGCGGACAUAGUAGAUAUGGAUCUACAGUGGGAUGUUGUUAUCAGCAAACUAAUUAUCUGGGUAUUUACUAUAUAUCGAACCUGUAUUAACUCCAAUUCAUUAAAAAACGUUAUUAAUGCUUAUACAAAGUGUUUUAUCAGAUUUUCUGUUAGAUUUUCCAUGAAUAGCGAAACAUUAAGCAAUAUCAGUUAUAAUUUCUAGCUCGCAAAAUUAAUUUUGUAGAUGAUCUCAAUGUAGCACAUAGAAAAGCUAAAGAAGCAGAAAAUACUAGCGAUUUAAAAACUGAUUUAGAAAAUAGUGUAAAGAGAAAACGAUAUCCUACGCGACGUCUUUAUGAUUCCGAUGAUUCAACCGAGGAAAAUAAUACAAUUUCAAACUUUAAAUCGUCUACCUCCAAUAAAAAAAAUUCUAAGUUAUAUCUUGUAUAAUAAUGUAUAAGGAAUCUUUUAAAUCAUACUUAUUCUGUAUCUGACUUUUAUAAUGGAUUUCAGGCUUUUCUAAAAAUAAUUUCUCAUAUAACAAUUCAUUAUAUAUUCUGAAUGAAGAAGGCUCUUCUAAAAAUAAUAAUAAUUUAUCAUUUAAAAAUACAUCACAUAUUCUGAAUGAAGAAGGUGAUGGUAUCGCAUCAUCCAUCUCAACACAAAAAAUACACACAGUAUUAAUUAAUAAUGACAUAAAAAAG